Molecule: long non-coding RNA, 841 nt
Filed under: Nicotiana benthamiana
Lineage: Eukaryota; Viridiplantae; Streptophyta; Magnoliopsida; Solanales; Solanaceae
Description: long non-coding RNA (NBEN_LNC004027)
Source: RNAcentral
UCGGACUAAUCCGUCACAAACAGAAUUAAUAACCAACACUUAAUUAUGCUAAUUAAUAUUGGCUUUAAGCAUAUAAUUAACUAAUCGACAAAAUAGGAAUGCAUAACUCUAAUUAUUAAGGAAAUAUACUAUUCCGAUUAAUCCUUAAUCAAACAAAUAAAGAUACUAAAAAUGCUCUUGACUGAUGACAAUAGAACAAACAACAAUACAAAGAAAGAAUAAAGAAAUAAAAUAAAACAAAGUGAAGGCAUGAUAGAAUGAUGCUGCUGAACAUGAACUAAUUUGAACAAUUAAAACUAACAUAAAAAUUAAUCAAAACUAAUGACAUAUUGACAGAGGGAAGAGAUAGUUCUCCAACAUAUUGUUAGGAGAAAAGGGAUUUCCGGCAAGCCGUAAAAUUGCCACACACACUGGCCGAAUUUCUCCUUGCGAGCCGGUUUUGGUAUGCACCAAAUAUCUCCUACCCGCCCGACAAAAAGAGAAGCGAGGCAAGGCAAGGAUGAACUAUGCGAUCCAAAGGAGCUUGACCAAGGUUUUGUGGCCAUAAAAUCAGCAAAAUCGCGGCUGGUCAAAUGAGCCAAAAUUAAUCACAAAUCAAACAAAAGGAAAACUUUAGGGUUUCUGUGAUUUACAAAUUUGGAAUUCAUGGAGAUUGGGAAAUUUUUUGGGAAAAUUAAUGAGGGAAUUGGACUGAGGGGAGGAUGGAGGUUGUAGCGUAUGAGUUUGGGGCUAUUUGGUGACGUGACGCCCCCGUGUGCGAUUUCUGGGAAUGACGGUUGGCGGGAGUUCAGACAGGGUGAGAGAAGCGAGUUAUGUAAGAGUUUUUGGGUUAAGGGGAGGG